Manis javanica (Malayan pangolin) is the source of this 2192-nucleotide long non-coding RNA. RefSeq lists it as uncharacterized. Lineage: Eukaryota; Metazoa; Chordata; Mammalia; Pholidota; Manidae. The record is from RefSeq and is a predicted model, not a curated record.
AAACAAACGUGACCUUUGCACGAGAACUUGGCUGACGGGAGGUAGUGGUGCGGGCCCCUGUGCCCUCCCGGCCGGCUGCCUGGCAGCACGCGGGAGCGGGGCAGGCUGGGAGGGUGCUCCCGCCGUGAGCUGGUGCUGCACGGGCAGAACGGUCGGGGCGAGGCUGAUCCCAGGCCUCGGGGCACAUUGGUGGGGAGAGCAGGGAAAACAACAGUGGGGGGCUGGGCAGGCCCCCCCAAGAUGGGUUGUUACUUGACGACGAACUUGCAGGACCUUGUGAAAUGUAUAUAGGUAGCCAGGAGACCUUCUGAGGAUUUCAAGUAAAAGGCACUUCCUUCAAUGUAAGCUGAAUUGUAAACACCAAAGAAUGAAUUCAGUCAGAGAUGUCAGCCGUGUGCUGCCCCCUGGAGACAUCUGGAACCUGCUGGGUGACCGGGAUUCUGGGCGGGUGGGAACAGAAAAGCGCUCAGAGGAGUCACUGGGCGUCUGAGGCCAUUUUUCGGAAACUGUGAAGGCCUGUGUUCCCGAAGCUGGUUUUGGAAGUGGAAGUAAGAACCAUUCACGGCUGUUAGAAGCCAUGAUUCAGGGACUGGCAGGCACCGCCAUCUUUUUGCACCGUUUGAUAAACAGGGAAGCAGAUCCUGAUUCGCAGAUCUGACGUGCUCGUGCUUGAGAGCCCAGAGACCCAGUGUCCCCACAGCUGACCCCUCCUGGACGGACACAGCCACCAGGAGGACUGGACGGCCCUCCACACGCAGAGACAGGCCCGCCGCGGUGUCCCCGGUCGUGAAGCGCAGGAGUUCCUUCAGGACGCUGAGGCCACUCGUCAGGUUCACUCCUUGCUCGGCCUCUUCACCGCGAGACCCACCCCCAAAGGCCGGGGCCCCCCGCCCGCCCCGGCCAGUGCGCGGGUCAGGGAGCUUGCUGUCCAAGCCUCCGCUCACAUUGGUGAGAUGUCAGAAGUCGCUUCCUUUGUGAAAGGCCACUUGAAUUUCCUGAGUCAUGCGAUCGCCUGUCUUGCCAAGUCUCAGUACACUCACGCGUCCCAUCCUCAUGACAGGAGGACAGACAUCGCAAGGCCAAAGAGCUAAAAGUUGAGAAAACCAAACUUCUCUCACAAAAUAGUCGAUGGCACUUUCUCCAACCUUUAGGAAAGACUGACUGCUCUACAGAGACUGUGUCUCCGGUCACGAGUGGCGGCGACCUGGUGCUCAAAGAAUGGAGGGGUAAGAAUGGCCCGUGUGCCAGGUGAAUCACAGAAGCACAUUUCAUUCUUCAUACUUUCACUCAGGUUCUAGGCCGUCAAGAUUAGCAAACACCCCAAGAGCAAAUGCAGGCUCCACAGCUGGAGAUUAGUUGUUUCUGGCCUUAGAGGAUGUCUCUUAUUUUUCUGCCGAUGUAUCAUGUAUAUUAAAAAAUCAUUUUAACAAUCUAAACAGCAUUUUAGUUGCUCCAGACUGGGAAAUUUUCUGCAGACAUUUAGUUAAGUAGAUGGGCAGAAACAGAUGUUAGCCCUGGAUUUUAACAGGCACCUUAACCUGAAUCUAAAAUCAAUCUGUGUCUUUCUUCCUCCUUGAACACUUUGCCGAUUUAGGAUUAAGAUACUGGGCAGUAACAGUUUAUAAAUUUGGAGGCAUUUUUAGACAGCUCUAAUUUAAUAAUUCCUACUAGAGGGAGGAAGUGUCAAAGUCUUCGGGAGACUCAAAUAUUGCUGAUACAUCGAGAAUCACCUACACAGAUGCAUCUCCUGGUUCCGUCCACCGCGAGGGCCCAGAGCAGCGACACCCAGUAGCGGAAGGAGCCAGGGACGUCCACUGCCACGUGCCCUCUGAUACGAAACACUGACGAGAACACAGCAUCACGUCUGCGGUGUUCAUGUCCUGAGCUGAGUAAUGAAGCAUCAGACAAACCCCAAAUGAGGGACAUUUUACAAAAUAACUGGCCUGUACUCUUCAGGAACCCAAUUUCAUUAAAGACAAACAAAAGUUUGAAAACCGGUUCCAAGUUAAAGGAAGCCAAUGAGGCACAGCUCAAAGCACUGCUGUGACAAUAAUGCCACUGUAAGGCACAUCACUGGGGGACAGACGGCAUCUGAUGAACUCCACAGGUUACACCAGGGGCUGGCAAACCACAGCCUGUGUGCCCAAACCACCCGCUGCCUGUUUUAUAAAUAAAGUUUUAUUGGAGCGUGA